AUUACCGUAAUUGGUCAAGGCUCUUCAGGAUUUGCCCUUGAAUUUUUCAGGAUUGCAUUCUUUAAGGAGUCAAUACUUAAAUAAAAAAUGAGAAGGUGGCAGUGGAUGCUGGGUAGCCAAUCCAGUGUCUGCUACAGGAGCUCAGGGAUGACGCCUCUGAAAUAAAUGACAUUUAAACUUAAGAUGAGUAACAGCAAGAAGUAAGGAGGACGCACCUUCAGGCAGAGGGAGUCGCGUGUGUGGCCUGACCGCGCCACCUGUUAAAGGUGUACAUGAAAUUCCUCAUUUACUACGUCGACCCAUAAAGGAACUGAGCUGGCUCAUCUUUGAAAUGCCAUUCAAGCAAGGAAAAUGGAACACUGGAAAUCUUGCUGGGAACCCCUGCAGCAUAGGGGCAGAGAACUUAGUGGAGGAAUGCCAGCUGAUGUUACCAGCUGCAUGUCAGAGUGUGGCUACCAACGUGACACCACUAAAUGUGGGGCUGGGAAGAGAGGAGCAAAGUAGCUCUCAGAAGCCAGUAUAAGCAUCUCCAGGACACCACUGAAGUGAAAAUUGGAAGCAAUAUAGAAGGCACCGAAAUGUUCUGCCUUUUCUUUGUCUUGGAUCACUGGUUAUGGAGGAAGCCAGAUGCCAUGUUGUGAGCCGUCCUAUGGAAAGGUCCACGUGGCAAGAAACUGAGGCCUCCAGCCAACAGCCAAAGGCCUAGGCUUGGGAGGGAUCCUGUAGCCCCAGUCAAGGCUUCAAAUGACAGCACCCUUGUGACUACAAUCUUAUGAGAGACCUUGAGCUGUUCCCAGGUUCUUGAACCAUGUGUUGUUUUAAGAUGCUAAUUUCCUUAAGACAAUUUGUUACACAGUAACAGCCAACUAAUAUACCUGGCCAGAAGGAUGCUUUUAGAAAUUUGAAUCUAAAUGCUUUGGGAUUGGGAAAAUAUCUCCCAAUUUGUCACAGACUCUUAUCUCUACCCACCUCAGGCUUUCACCCAGUUCAUAGAGACAUCUGAGCUGAAAAUACCUGUAUGACUUUCAUCAGAUAUUCAAUGGAAGUUGCAUAUUUUAAAGAAUUGAUCCAGGCCAUAUGUUUUUCUAAUUCAAGCCAAAAAGAAAACAAGUUUGGCUAUAAAAAAUGUUUGGGAAACGCAGACAUGAGCUAAUUCCUACUCCUAUUGCAUCCUGACAUCUUAAAGUCUAUAGGGUGUGCUUCAUGAAAGAACUCUGUUUAACUUUCUUUAGUCUAAUUUUUAGUCUAAUCUUGGUCUAAUAUUUCCCAAAAUUUAGUUAGUUACCUUUCCUUUCUUUGUUUCUUUCAUCCUUCAUUGCAUGAUAGCUCUCACCAUACCAUGGAACACUUCAAGAAAUGCUGUGCCACUUGCAUAUCAGAGCUCCUAAAAUUGUGAGGUUUGCAACAUCACCCAUGGUGGACUAACAGAGACAUGAAUUAGAGUCUUAGCUUUUUGUGCUAAGUGAAUAGCUAGCACAAAGUGAACAGCUAGAGUCCUGUCUGACCUGGUGUCCUAGGAAUUUGCCUUGCUUGCUUUUUUAUUAUAAUCCAUUGCCAAAUACAGGUGCAUAGAGGAGUCAUUCUUUAAGCAUUAAAUUGCUACCAUACAUCCUGCCUAGUGCCUGGCUGUCACUCAAGGAAGCAGAAACUGGCACUUGGAGUAGAUCACCCAGGAACAGGGGCAGCCAGGUGUGGGUUUCCUGAUUGGUGGCAAGGCAGGCAACCUGAAGCAUACCUCAGAAGGAAGAAGUUGAAUGACACCAGAGACCAUCAGUCCUCUUUUUCCAAUGGGAGAGACUUAGAAGGGCUGCUAUAGCUUAGAAGAAUUGUUAAUGGUAUUCAUUUGCUCCCAUCUGUAUCCAUAGGUGGCCUUUGUGGAGAGAAAGAAGGAAAUGUAUGGACAUUGCCAUUUUCCAUCUUCUGACAGAGUGUCCUCUUCUUCUCCAAGUGCUUUGCUGGGUUGAGUUGUCUUAGUUUGAAUUCCUCCUGAGGCAGACCCUGAGACAAGAUUCCAGUGUAAGUAGUUUAGUGAGGUGGUGGUGCCAGGAAACCCUGUAGAGCGCAGAGAAGAGAACAAGAGGGAAAAGGAAGCCAGUGAAGAGGAAAGAUCAAGCCAGUUACCACCGCAAGCAAGUGGCACUUAUCCCCACUGGGAGCUCUAGGAGUCAGUGAGGACUCAGCUCAGAGUUUUCCCUGCAGGGAGCUGGGCAUUUUGUCCACAAACUCCUAUGAGUGAUUGGAGGGAAAUAACUCCCCUUUUUGAGGGACAAUAAUUCCCUUUUACUGCCAGCCUCUCCUGGCAGUCAGAGAGCCUGCAGGCAAGGACCAAUGGUGCCAACAGUUAGAAGUCAGGCCUGGGUGCAUGGAAAUGGUAAAUUGUCUGCUACAAAAGUCAAUUUCUGUCUUUCCUGAUGGCUUCCUCUUUCACUUUCAUUUAUGCUUGGUCUCUUUCCCUAAUCCCUCUAGUUCUUCUAAGUCACUGAGUGCCUCUUUCUAGAAGAGCCAAGGCUCACCUCUCUACCUGAUCUUUCAGGCAAACUUACCUGCACUGCUGCGAAGGUCUGGUCAGUCUCCUCCAUGUCAUUUUCUACCCCCGUUGGACUCUGUUAGGAGUUUGAGAUGCAAUUAGAUAUCACAUGCAGGAUAGUUAAUAGAAAUCUAGUUUCUUCACAAGCAUGCAUAUUUUAAUAACUUUUGGUAGCAACCAACCACUUUGAAAACUUGACCGUUGCUGUUUCCCUGAUAAGCUAUUCAAUUUAAUUUAUUUGGUUGUAGUAACCAUUUGGUAGUUAAUCAAAGAGGAAAAAUAUUUGAAUCACUUAAGUAUGUGCAAACAUUUUCUCUUCAUAUUGACUUUAAUCACAAAUCACUUUCUUUCUGUUAAACAUCAGGUAAGCAAAUUUUCCAAGUCUGAUAUAUAAAACCUCUGAAUUCCCAUUUCUUCAUAGUUAACUAAAAGUUGAGACUGUUGCUUCAAAUCUUGCUGGUUUUUGUUUUUUUUUUUUUUGCUGAUGAGAUAAAUGAUUUUAUGUGUCCUAUGACUUUAGAAAGAUCACACUGUUUAUUCACAUUAACUAUUACAUUUUGGUUAAUAGUUAAAGUAAAAAUGUCCACCCAGCCUUUCCUCCCUCCAAGGCUUUGCUGGGAUUCAAGGCAGGCCACCCCCAAAUGCACCUCAAUGGCAUAGUGAUUAUUUUUAAUUAAAGGAACUUAAGAAAUGGCCAACACAAGAGGGACACCUUGACCCUCCUUUCCGUCGCCCUGAAACAAGAAUUAAAUCUCUCAUGGGAAAGGCACACUCUUUGCAUCUGGAGGUAGAAGGGCACACUUAAUUGCCAGCGACAGGGAAUUAGGGCCAAGAAGCUUACAUAAACAAACACUGUUACUUCUUUAAUCUACUGCCUCAAGCCCAAUCUCUGUUUAGAUUCUUCACUAAUUGAGCUCUCAAAACCUACGUUUCUUUAUGCUGUCAAUUUCUCACAAAUUUGUAUUUUGUCUCUCUAAAAAGGAUAAAAGCUGCCUGCUUUGGCCACUUCUUAGGUCCCAUUUCUAUGAGACCUCCAUGUGCAUGAAUUAAAAUUUGUUUCUUUUUGCACUGUUAGUCUUGUGUCAAUUUUACUAUUACUCAAGAGGGAAAUUUCCCCCUUUCCAACAACUUCUUCCAGGGAAAUGUUAAUCAAUAAAAAUUAAAUAUGUCUUCCUAGGGAAAGAAACAAUUUAUGCCUUUUCAGUACCUAAAGGGUAUAAAGGUAUCUAUUGCUUCAAUCUGAAAUGUCAAGGUGGGGAGCGGGGGAAGAGACAGAGAGAGAGAGAGAGAGACAGAGCAAUAAAACUCUAGCAUCCUUGAAGGAGAGAAGAGUUGCCAGUUUAAUGAUGUAGGCUCAAAGGCCUAAACACAAACAUUACUGGAGGCAUUUAUCUGGAAAUUACUGAGAGGGUUUUGAGUUGUUUUUGUUGUAUCUUUCGAAGUACUCUAGGUUCAUCAAGGGUCCUAGAAACAACUGUGAAGGAGGCAGGGUGGAUUUGUUUUUGGUUUGCUUUGUUUGUUUUGUUCCGAGGGUUUCUUCAUUGUUUGGGAAACACUGAUCUCAGUGUCUCCUUACCUUUUCAGGACUCCCUUACCUAGAGUCUAAAGUCUCCUGAUUCUUUGUAAGAGUCCUGGUCAUUUUCUAACCAAUGUUAUUAAAAUGUUUACAUGCCUCCCUCCCCAAGCACACUCUCUUAUUCGUCUUUGCAGUUCUCACAGAAUCUAGCACCCUGAUUUGUAUAUAGGUUAUCUUAUUUAUAUAUUGACAUGUGGUUUUAUAGUAUACUUAUAUUUACAGUUAUAUAAUGCAUAUACAUGCCUGUAAAUGUAUAUAUGUCCAUAUAGAGAGUAUCUACCAUAGCUUAAUUCAGUUCAACAACACAAUGAUCUGACUCUGCUCACUCUGCAUGAGAAAACCAAGCUAUUUCUCAUGCUUGAGUUUGACCAUACGCCACAUAAAUAUGACAGCACCCUCAGUUUAUCACACACUGGAAAAUCUUUAGACUCCCCGAAGUUCUCAUGCUAUUUAUCAAAACCCAAUACUAAAUUUAAGUCUUUCACGUACAUGUGUUUUCUAAUAUAUCUGCCCCAUUUUUGAAACAUCUCAGCUGUUGCACAUCACAUGACACUUAGAUAUAGGAAAUGAUUCCAAUAUGUUUUUAAAAGUAUGAUAUGCAGAUAUAUUCUCGUAUUUCUAGAGUCUUCAAAAACAAAUGGUGACAACUCACCAAUUCCUGCUGAAGAUACAUGCAUAGGCACACAUGAUUUUCUCACCCACAAUAAUCACCAAAUCUAGUUGGUACGAGUAGAUUCUUCCAAGCUAGUGAGAGAGGGAAACGAAGUUUCACGAUUUCAGGAAAGGAAUGUAAAGCAACAUAGUUAUGAUGGAGGAAUGGAACUAGUAAAUAAAAACUUAAGACUCUCAGGAACAUUCUUUGAAUCCCCCAAAUUAUAACUCUUUUUUAAAACUAUAAGUUUAUAAGAAGAAAACUGAAUAUGGCAAUUUACAGACAUCAUGUCCACACGGUUCUUAGGAAAUCAAAGAAAGACAACUUCUUAUACUCUUUUAAGAAUACGUAUGGAUCUCAAACCCUUUCAUCGGAAAUGUUUCAGGUAUCACUGGUGGAAGAAUGUUUUACUGGGCGGAGAAAGAACAUGGAGGUGUAUUUCGAAAAUAAUCUAAACCUAGAAUGGGGUGAUAUUGGUGAGAAGCUUGAUACAACAUGGUGAAACCUGGCCCCUCGUUCUAGUCAAGGUUCUGCUGGGUAUUGGCUCUUAUCUUUUUACCUUCCUUCUGCAAUAAUUGUUUCAGCCACCAAAAAGAGGUUGAGCUGGAAGACCUCUUAAGCUCCUUUUUUUCAGGGUUGUUUCAAAAGGAUCUGAACUUUGCAGCCCAUAUUCCAAAAGUGCCUUUAACAAUCACAAUUUAUAUGUUUGACUCAAAUGGGAUAAUAAAUAGUACAGUCAUGACGACAUGUAUGUGAUCCCAAAAAUGAAUUUGACUACUCUGAUUUUCUCUCUGAUUAUAUUGGCUAGCUAUUUCCCUAAAUUGACUAAAACUUGUCUGUUGUUUAGAAAAUCACAUAGACAUAGUAGUAGUAGGCAUGUAGUCAUGCAGAAUAGGCGAAGACACCUUUGAGGUGAAGAUGGCUUUAGUAAGAUGAAGGUGGCUUUAGUAAGGUAAAGCCAGGGAUCAACAAUAUUCUUUUUCCUCCUAACGUUGCUGGUUUAGUGACAUGAUUUUAUUUUGACUAAAUUAUAAAGCCAAGGAUAUGGUGGUAUUUAACAACAUGAUGUUAAAAGUUAGCCUAGAAUAUUAUUGUUUUAUGAUCAGUGCUCAAUGAAGGAAAUUAGUAUAUCUGAAAAGGAUGAUCUGUAUCCUAGAGCUAAUAGAAUAGAUUUGUCUCAUCAUUUUAGGGACCUUCUAAAUUGUUAAUGAGAUUUUCUGAUGACACAAUAAUAACAGUUGCAUUCAGGCUCCCAAGGCUGACUUUAAACAUCUGCUUUUGCUGUUAAAGUUAUUGUUCAUUUCAUCUUAAAAUAGGAAUAAUACAACACUCAGCUUUUCCAGAAAUAGAUCUAUCACUUGUAAAACAAUGACAAGUGAGAGCACUAUUCUAUAGAUAAAGAAAAUUUAUAUUUAACUAUUCAAUAAAUAGAACCCAGUCUUAGAUAAAUCACAAAGAUAGACCCUAUUAUGGGCUGAAUUCUGUCCACCCAAAAUUCAUACGUUGAAGCUCAAGCCCUCAAUGAAACUGUAUUUGGAGAUAGGACCUUUAUUACUAAAAUAAUUAAGAUUGAAUGAGGUCAUAAGGGAUUUUAGGAUUAGAGUCCUUAUAAGAAGAGGAAGAGAGACCAGAUCUCUCUCUCUCUCUUUGCCAUGUGAAGACAUAGCAAGAAUGUAAGCCAGGAAGAGAGUCCUCACCAAGAACUGAAUCAGCCAGCACCUUGAUCUUGGACUUCCAGCCUCCAGAACUGUGAGAAAUGCAUGUCUAUUGUUUAAGCCACCCUGUCUAUGGUAUUUUGUUAUGGCAGCCUGAGCUGACUAAUGUAGACCCUAUCAUGGAUGACGAAAAUCAACGUUUUUAAGUUAGGAUAAGUAGUAGGUGAAUGUGCUUUUUAAUGUCUUCUUGCCAUUAUUGUUCACUUGUUUGUUUGUUUUUCAGAAGUGGAGCUCCCCAAUAUGGCCCGAGAAUAGACUAUUCAAUGAAAGGCAAGAAGCUAGUGUGUAACUGACAUACAAUUCUUUACAAGAUCUCCUGUGUUCUUCAGGAACCCAACCUAAGCUUCUGACCUCUAGAUUAGCAGCUAGGCUUAUGCAUUUUCUUUUUUUUUUUUUUUGCGGUACGCGGACCUCUCACUGUUGUGGCCUCUCCCGUUGCGGAGCACAGGCUCCGGACGUGCAGGCUCAGCAGCCAUGGCUCACGGGCCCAGCCGCUCCGCGGCAUGUGGGAUCUUCCCGGACCGGGGCACGAACCCGUGUCCCCCGCAUUGGCAGGCGGACUGUCAACCACUGCGCCACCAGGGAAGCCCUUAUGCCUUUUCUUUACAUUAUCCAGUGACACCUGUCCUUGUUUCCUUGACCUGGCUCUAAUUGCUGUCUAUCUCUUUCCAAUUGGCCUGCAGGACCUGUUGAAGAAGCUAAGAGUACUAUAAAUUUACAGAUCUCGUGAGAUUGGUAAAGAUAGGAAAAAUAAGUCCAUGUGAACACUGCUGUUGUUUGAGCCCUGAUGUCAGAUUCAUAUUUAUCUGCCCAAGUGGGAAUACAAUAAAAAUGUUCCAGAAAAAAAAAUAGUGUUUGUUUCUUCUCAUAAGGGUCAUAGCAGACAAAAUAGCUGAGUGAGAACUGGAAGAGUCAUAGCAGAAUUGCAAAGAU
Molecule: long non-coding RNA, 7403 nt
Organism: Orcinus orca (killer whale)
Lineage: Eukaryota; Metazoa; Chordata; Mammalia; Artiodactyla; Delphinidae
Exons: 4
Source: RefSeq, a predicted model, not a curated record